Otolemur garnettii (small-eared galago) is the source of this 120-nucleotide small nucleolar RNA. The record is from Ensembl. NCBI's taxonomy places the organism in Eukaryota, Metazoa, Chordata, Mammalia, Primates, Galagidae.
CAUUCUAACUCCUCUAUCCCAUAAAUACUUACUGUGGUCAUUCAAGUGGGGCAAAGGAAAUAUCCUUUUAAAACUCAGGCAAACCAGUGCUUAUCUUGUAUCCUGUCAAAGGAAACAAAU